AUGUGUAUUGUUGUUGGACAUUCAAAAAAUGGCACUUUCAAAUACCUAUGCGAUAGGGUCGGUGAGAAAGUCCGUGGUUGGGUUGAAAAACUUCUUUCAGCAACAGGCAUGGAAGUCUUGAUCAAAUCAGUAGCACGAGCAAUUCCAGUGUAGUCCAUAUCUUGUUUCAGGCUACCUAGAGGUUUAUGUGAGUAUGUCACCUCGAUGAUCCGUCAAUUGUGGUGGGGAAGCAAAAGAGGAAGAAGGAGACCUAGAUGGGUGGCAUGGGAUGUUGUGACCAGGCCAAAGUAUAUGGGCGGUAUGGGCUUUCAGGAUUUGGAAAUAUUCAACUUGGCACUUUUGUCUAGGGAGGCAUGGAGAAUUUUGAAUCAUGAAGGCUCUUUAAGUGCAAGAAUUGUGAAAUAUGUCUAUUUUCCAAACAUUUCUUUGGGCUACACUAGAAUUGCCCGUACACUGGAAUUGCCCGUGCUACUGAUUUGA
RNAcentral lists this ribosomal RNA (480 nucleotides) under Triticum aestivum (bread wheat). RNAcentral's name for it is "partial small subunit ribosomal RNA". The record is from RNAcentral. Lineage: Eukaryota; Viridiplantae; Streptophyta; Magnoliopsida; Poales; Poaceae.